This 253-nucleotide ribosomal RNA is filed under the name uncultured bacterium. RNAcentral describes it as "partial 16S ribosomal RNA". It matches the Rfam family "Bacterial small subunit ribosomal RNA", at positions 524 to 776 of the family's 1533-position model. The record is from RNAcentral.
UACGGAGGGGGCUAGCGUUGUUCGGAAUUACUGGGCGUAAAGCGCACGUAGGCGGCUUUGUAAGUUAGGGGUGAAAGCCCGGAGCUCAACUCCGGAAUUGCCUUUAAGACUGCAUCGCUAGAACACGGGAGAGGUAAGCGGAAUUCCGAGUGUAGAGGUGAAAUUCGUAGAUAUUCGGAAGAACACCAGUGGCGAAGGCGGCUUACUGGACCGUUGUUGACGCUGAGGUGCGAAAGCGUGGGGAGCAAACAGG